GACGAACGCUGGCGGCGUGCUUAACACAUGCAAGUCGAACGGUAAGGCUCCAGCUUGCUGGGGUACACGAGUGGCGAACGGGUGAGUAACACGUGGGUGACCUGCCCUGCACUUCGGGAUAAGCCUGGGAAACUGGGUCUAAUACCGGAUAGGAACAUGGUGUGGAUACUGUGGUGGAAAGUUUUUUCGGUGUGGGAUGGGCCCGCGGCCUAUCAGCUUGUUGGUGGGGUAAUGGCCUACCAAGGCGGCGACGGGUAGCCGGCCGGAGAGGGUGGACGGCCACAUUGGGACUGAGACACGGCCCAGACUCCUACGGGAGGCAGCAGUGGGGAAUAUUGCACAAUGGGCGGAAGCCUGAUGCAGCGACGCCGCGUGGGGGAUGACGGCCUUCGGGUUGUAAACUCCUUUCACCAUCGACGAAGGGUUUCUGACGGUAGAUGGAGAAGAAGCACCGGCUAACUACGUG
RNAcentral lists this ribosomal RNA (466 nucleotides) under uncultured bacterium. Its description in RNAcentral is "partial 16S ribosomal RNA". It matches the Rfam family "Bacterial small subunit ribosomal RNA", at positions 28 to 507 of the family's 1533-position model. The record is from RNAcentral.